Molecule: ribosomal RNA, 653 nt
Filed under: uncultured cyanobacterium
Lineage: Bacteria; Bacillati; Cyanobacteriota
Description: bacterial SSU rRNA
Rfam family: Bacterial small subunit ribosomal RNA
Source: RNAcentral
CGUAAACGAUGAACACUAGGUGUCGGGGGAAUCGACCCCCUCGGUGUCGUAGCCAACGCGUUAAGUGUUCCGCCUGGGGAGUACGCACGCAAGUGUGAAACUCAAAGGAAUUGACGGGGGCCCGCACAAGCGGUGGAGUAUGUGGUUUAAUUCGAUGCAACGCGAAGAACCUUACCAGGGUUUGACAUCCUGCGAACCCCCUGGAAACGGGGGGGUGCCUUCGGGAACGCAGUGACAGGUGGUGCAUGGCUGUCGUCAGCUCGUGUCGUGAGAUGUUGGGUUAAGUCCCGCAACGAGCGCAACCCACGUCGUUAGUUGCCAGCAUUCAGUUGGGCACUCUAGCGAGACCGCCGGUGAUAAACCGGAGGAAGGUGUGGAUGACGUCAAGUCAUCAUGCCCCUUACAUCCUGGGCUACACACGUACUACAAUGCUACGGACAAAGGGCCGCAAGCUCGCGAGAGUUAGCAAAUCCCAUAAACCGUGGCUCAGUUCAGAUCGUAGGCUGCAACUCGCCUACGUGAAGGAGGAAUCGCUAGUAAUCGCAGGACAGCAUACUGCGGUGAAUACGUUCCCGGGCCUUGUACACACCGCCCGUCACACCAUGGAAGUUGGCCACGCCCGAAGUCGUUACUCCAACCCGUAAGGGAGGAGA